UGCGGAGGAUCAUUAC
Molecule: ribosomal RNA, 16 nt
Filed under: Monascus sp. MPNU5002
Lineage: Eukaryota; Fungi; Ascomycota; Eurotiomycetes; Eurotiales; Aspergillaceae
Description: partial 18S ribosomal RNA
Source: RNAcentral